UACGAGGGGGGCGAGCGUUGUUCGGAAUUAUUGGGCGUAAAGGGUGCGUAGGCGGCCUGACAAGUCUGAUGUGAAAUCCCUGGGCUCAACCCAGGGCCUGCAUCGGAAACUGUCGGGCUUGAGUAUGGGAGAGGUGAGUGGAAUUUCCGGUGUAGCGGUGAAAUGCGUAGAUAUCUGGAGGAACACCGGUGGCGAAGGCGGCAUCCUGGACCGGUAUUGACGCUGAGGCGCGAAAGCUAGGGGGAGCAAACGGG
RNAcentral lists this ribosomal RNA (254 nucleotides) under uncultured bacterium. RNAcentral's name for it is "partial 16S ribosomal RNA". It matches the Rfam family "Bacterial small subunit ribosomal RNA", at positions 524 to 776 of the family's 1533-position model. The record is from RNAcentral.